Molecule: ribosomal RNA, 500 nt
Filed under: uncultured bacterium
Lineage: Bacteria
Description: partial 16S ribosomal RNA
Rfam family: Bacterial small subunit ribosomal RNA
Source: RNAcentral
AUUGAACGCUGGCGGCAGGCCUUACACAUGCAAGUCGAACGGCAGCGCGGACUUCGGUCCGGCGGCGAGUGGCGAACGGGUGAGUAAUACAUAGGAACGUACCCUGUUGUGGGGGAUAACUAGCCGAAAGAUUAGCUAAUACCGCAUACGACCUGAGGGUGAAAGUGGGGGACCGCAAGACCUUACGCAGCAAGAUCGGCCGAAGUCGGAUUAGCUAGUUGGUGGGGUAAAGGCCCACCAAGGCGACGAUCAGUAGCUGGUCUGAGAGGACGAUCAGCCACACUGGGACUGAGACACGGCCCAGACUCCUACGGGAGGCAGCAGUGGGGAAUUUUGGACAAUGGGGGCAACCCUGUUCCAGCAAUGCCGGGUGUGUGAAGAAGGCCUUUGGGUUGUAAAGCACUUUUGUCCGGAAAGAAAUCGCGCUGGUUAAUACCUGGCGUGGAUGACGGUACCGGAAGAAUAAGCACCGGCUAACUACGUGCCAGCAGCUGCAGUAA